GCGGCCUAUCAGCUUGUUGGUGAGGUAAUGGCUCACCAAGGCGACGACGGGUAGCCGGCCUGAGAGGGCGACCGGCCACACUGGGACUGAGACACGGCCCAGACUCCUACGGGAGGCAGCAGUGGGGAAUAUUGCACAAUGGGCGAAAGCCUGAUGCAGCGACGCCGCGUGAGGGAUGACGGCCUUCGGG
This 190-nucleotide ribosomal RNA is filed under the name uncultured bacterium. Its description in RNAcentral is "partial 16S ribosomal RNA". It matches the Rfam family "Bacterial small subunit ribosomal RNA", at positions 233 to 422 of the family's 1533-position model. The record is from RNAcentral.